This 468-nucleotide ribosomal RNA is filed under the name uncultured bacterium. RNAcentral's name for it is "partial 16S ribosomal RNA". It matches the Rfam family "Bacterial small subunit ribosomal RNA", at positions 28 to 507 of the family's 1533-position model. The record is from RNAcentral.
GACGAACGCUGGCGGCGUGCUUAACACAUGCAAGUCGAACGGAAAGGUCCUGCUUUUGUGGGGUGCUCGAGUGGCGAACGGGUGAGUAACAUGUGAGUAACCUGCCCUUGACUUUGGGAUAACUUCAUGAAACUGGGGCUAAUACCGGAUAGGAGUUCCUGCUGCUUGGUGGGGGUUGGAAAGUUUCGGCGGUUGGGGAUGGACCCGCGGCUUAUCAGCUUGUUGGUGGGGUAGUGGCUUACCAAGGCUUUGACGGGUAGCCGGCCUGAGAGGGUGACCGGCCACAUUGGGACUGAGAUGCGGCCCAGACUCCUACGGGAGGCAGCAGUGGAGAAUAUUGCACAAUGGGCGGAAGCCUGAUGCAGCAACGCCGCGUGCGGGAUAACGGCCUUCGGGUUGUAAACCGCAUUCGCCUGUGACGAAGCGAGAGUGACGGUAAUGGGUAAAGAAGCACCGGCUAACUACGUG